CCCGGUACGUCCCGGAGUAGUCGCGGAAGUAGCUCGGCUCACCAUCAUCGGGUGCACGCGAAGGAUGAGCGCGGCACCGAUCUCGUCCAGCGAAUAUAGCUGGAGAUCCAUGUCCCACCAGAGCAACGGGAUCGGUGAUGGCGGGGCUUUCAG
This 153-nucleotide unclassified non-coding RNA is filed under the name plant metagenome. RNAcentral's name for it is "partial contains 5.8S ribosomal RNA, internal transcribed spacer 2, and large subunit ribosomal RNA". The record is from RNAcentral.